RNAcentral lists this ribosomal RNA (170 nucleotides) under uncultured bacterium. RNAcentral's name for it is "partial 16S ribosomal RNA". It matches the Rfam family "Bacterial small subunit ribosomal RNA", at positions 337 to 524 of the family's 1533-position model. The record is from RNAcentral.
UCCUACGGGAGGCAGCAGUGGGGAAUAUUGGACAAUGGGCGCAAGCCUGAUCCAGCCAUGCCGCGUGAGUGAUGAAGGCCCUAGGGUUGUAAAGCUCUUUCACCGGUGAAGAUAAUGACGGUAACCGGAGAAGAAGCCCCGGCUAACUUCGUGCCAGCAGCCGCGGUAAU